Molecule: ribosomal RNA, 492 nt
Filed under: uncultured bacterium
Lineage: Bacteria
Description: partial 16S ribosomal RNA
Rfam family: Bacterial small subunit ribosomal RNA
Source: RNAcentral
AGUGAACGCUGGCGGUAGGCCUAAUACAUGCAAGUCGAGCGAACGCACAGUAAGCGCUCGCCCCUACGGGUGGCGGGUGGCGGAUGGGUGAGGCAUACAUAGGAAUCUACUUUUUCGUGGGGGACAACGUAGGGCCACUUACGCUAAUACAGAAUACGACCUACGGCAGAAAGCAGGAGAUCUUCAGACUUUGCGCGAUUCAUUGAGACGGUGCCGGAUUAGCUAGUUGGGGGGGUAAAGGCCCACCAAGGCAACGAUGCGUAGCUGGUCUGAGAGGAUGAUCAGCCACACUGGAACUGAGACACGGUCCAGACUCCUACGGGAGGCAGCAGUAGGGAAUAUUGGACAAAGGGCGCAAGCCUGAUCCAGCCAUGCCGCGUGAGUGAUGAAGGCCUUCGGGUCGUAAAGCCCUGUUGUUGGGGAAGAAAAACAGCGUGUGAAUACCCCGCUGUUCUGACGGUACCCAAUGAGUAAGCACCGGCUAACUUCGUG